This 169-nucleotide ribosomal RNA is filed under the name uncultured rumen bacterium. Its description in RNAcentral is "partial 16S ribosomal RNA". It matches the Rfam family "Bacterial small subunit ribosomal RNA", at positions 340 to 524 of the family's 1533-position model. The record is from RNAcentral.
UACGGGAGACAGCAGUGGGGAAUUUUCCGCAAUGGGCGAAAGCCUGACGGAGCAAUGCCGCGUGGAGGUGGAAGGCCUACGGGUCGUCAACUUCUUUUCUCGGAGAAGAAACAAUGACGGUAUCUGAGGAAUAAGCAUCGGCUAACUCUGUGCCAGCAGCCGCGGUAAU